UUGCUUUUGGUGUAGUUUGUCUCUGUCUGUCUGUCUGUCUGUCUGUCUGUCUGUCUGUCUGUCUGUCUGUCUGUCUGUCUGUCUGUCUGUCUGUCUGUCCAUCUGUCUGUUUGUCUGUGUGUAGUUUUCUUGUUUUGUUAAUAGAAACUUGAGAAGCAGCGCGUUCAAGAGAAACGUAAGGUAAAAAUGGAGGAAGCAAAGAAGCGGACAGUGAAAUCAAAGAAAGGGAGGCAAGAGAGACAACUUCGUGGAGAGAGAAAGUUGAACGUAAACGAUCAAUUGAUGCACAGAAAGCUCACGAAAGGGAAGGCUAUCGUAGACGUGAAGAAGAAGACAGAGCACAUUACACAGGCAGGUUGUGUAUGCAGAAGUGUGCAUCAAUACUGGCAAGUGUUGUGUGAUGCAUCUGUGAUGGAAACGUCAUGUGACAUCACGGAUUGAAAGUCAGAUGCACAAAUAGAAAUUGCAAGGGCAAACUCAUCUUGUAUUGGUCUACUGCAGUGUAAUAUAUUGCUGGCAUUUUAGAAAGCUUGCGUGGAGCAGUUAGAUGCUGAAACUGAGAGGGAGAAGCGGCAAGCACACGACAGACGAAGGUUUAAUCAGCAGGAAUGUGAGACAGUCGAUGCUGCAGUGAGGCACACAAAGGAAAGUGUUGCUGAGCGAGAAGCCGCAGACUCUCAGCAUGCAGUAGAAGAAGCAAGAUGUGCAGUGGAAGAGGCAAGGGCCAUGCGAGAUGCAGAGGCACAAGCAGAGCCUUGAACAUCCAGACCGUAACACGUUAGUGGGUGUGCAGUCAGCAAGUUAGAUGUGGUGUUGUCUUCGAAAGAGUCGUAUUCUCUAGAAUAACUUGAGGACCAAGACGUCAAUCAGGAAUUGUGCUACUGUGAGGUAGUGGUGUAGUGUCACUCUCAUGGCACAUCGAAAUCGCUGAGAAGACAAUGUGUAACAUACGUCAACACAGAAUUGGAACAGAAGCCGAGGCCGCUGCUGCAGACGAAGCCGUUCGACAGGCACAGGAAGCAGCCGAGCAAGCACUAGCUGAACAGAGAAAACUUGAGAAGCAGUGCGUUCAAGACGAACGUAAGGCAAGAGGAGGAAGCAAAGAAGCAAGACAGUGAAGUCGAAGAGAGGGAAGUCUGUGUUAUGGGUGAGAUUGUGGAGUUUUUGUGCAGUCAGUGAUUGCUUGGUUUGGCAGGCAAGAGAGAGACAACUUUGUGGAGAGAGGGAAGCUGAACGUGCACAAGCAAUUGAUGCACAGAAGUGAGCUCGUGAAAGGGAAGAAUAUUGUAGACGUGAAGAAGAAGACAGAGCACAUUGCAAAGAUCGCAUGGAGCAGUUGGAUGCUUGAAACUGAGAGCAAGAAGUGGCUAGCACACGAGGAAAGACGAAGGUUUAAGCAGCAGGGAAGUGCAUUGGAUAGUUUGCUCCAGUCAUCACUAUUCACGUGGCACUGGUCAUUGCUAUGAAUUGAUGUUCAUGCAUGUUGGUGUGGUUUGCAUGCAACAUGCUGCAAAGUAAGUUAAAUGUAUUGCAAAUGUAUUAUGGGAGACAUCAAGUGUCAGUUCUCAAAUGAAUGUAAGGUAGAUGAGUCUGUCUUAAAUACAAAGCAAGUGAAGAUGAUGAGAGAGGACAGGAGCAGUAGGUUGUGAGUCUAGUCCAUCAUGGAGUCGUGCAGUGGAUCAAGAGAAGCAAGCAGUCAGCAGCCCAGCCGUCAGUUUGAAUAGUGGCAGAGUUUGCAAACGAGCAGACAGACUAGAUGUGUAAGUUAGAGGAGAGAUGGAGUGAUAGUGAGGCGUCUAGAUGAGGUGAGAGUAUGAGAGUGUCCAGUUGUAGGAGGUACACUGUAGUGUUGAAUUGAGUUUUGUUGAAUACAUUACUGUACUCACAAGUGCACGUGUCAUCUAGUU
Molecule: long non-coding RNA, 1907 nt
Organism: Corticium candelabrum
Lineage: Eukaryota; Metazoa; Porifera; Homoscleromorpha; Homosclerophorida; Plakinidae
Exons: 12
Source: RefSeq, a predicted model, not a curated record